GAAAAAAAUGAGAAAAAAGAUUGAUAUUGUUAUAUGUGAUGAAGUGCAACACGAGGUGGAUUCUUACCGAACUUUCAAAAUGCUUUGUAGUCGAGACUGGUUCUGAGAAGAAAUGCUAAAUCCUUGCUGGAUACAGAUCAGGGGGCUAUUGAAAAUCUGCAAAAGUCAAAUUCCCUCAGUUCAAGAAGACGACUCGUACCUGGGAAUGGCUCUGGACUAAUUACAAAAAAUCACUGCAGAAAGCAGACACAACAAGAGUUUUGCCAAAAGGAAGAAGGGCUGUUGAUCACUUGUGUGGUAGAGAGAAACACCCAGAAUCAGUCUGGACAGGAUGGAGUUUCAGUCUGGACAGGAUGGAGUUUUAGUCUGGACAGGAUGGAGUUUUAGUCUGGACAGGAUGUAGUUUUAGUCUGGACAGGAUGGAGUUUUAGUCUGGAAAGGAUGGAGCUUCAGUCUGGCUGGACAGGAUGGAGUUUUAGUCUGGACAGGAUGGAGUUUUAGUCUGGACAGGAUGGAGCUUCAGUCUGGACAGGAUGGAGCCUAACUGUGGAAAAACAGAAACUGACUGAUACACACAUUACAAUGACAAAUCAAUGACCAGAUUGGCAACCAGCUCCAGCUACUCAGCAUCACUCUGACUAUUUGUGCUGGUUGUUUUCUGUCUCAGCUGAAGGGAGGACAUUGUGUUUUAAAGUAUUUUCUUUCUGUCCUGAAGUAGGUCUACCUGCUUAAUACAUACAGACUUUCAUAUAGGUAAAGCAAAGGCACGCUAUGACUUAACUCUACCUUCAUAUAUUGGGCUGCCUUUAUCACAAUAGUUUCACAGUUUAAAAACGUGUGUUUUCAAAUGACUGUAUGCUACAUUGAUCUUUGGAUCACACUUGGAAUGCGAAAGGUUCCGAAUGUUAGUUUUAGGUCUCCCUGAAGUCCGUAGACUUCCACUCUAUUAGUCACCCUAGAACACAGUCAACGAGCCUAACGGAGAGGUGUAUUCAUCAGGGAUAUACUGUAGCUAAAUGUUUAAUGGAGGGCUACGCGAGCGUUUCUUGGACCAUUUCAGAAAUUGGUACACAAGAAGGAGGAGCACUAGUCUUUUUAGGAUUAAGUGAAAAUAGGGAGACAAUAUAUUUGUAUUAAGGGUUUAGUCUUUGAAUCGUGGAUUUGUGCAGAUUCCCUUGGCCUUCCUUCCUGUUUAACCUUUGAUGUCUGGUCUUGCUGUAGAGACUGAAUACAGCAGGAUUAUUGCUAGACUUUUUUUGUUUUCUUAACUAUUUUACGACGUAUUCAUUGACGAAACGAACUCCACUACAAAUACAAGCCUCUAUAGAAGAACCUCUGAUCCUUUUUUUGUUAGAAAUAAAAAGACAAAGAUGUUUUAUUUUCUAAGAGUAUGUAGUAGUAGCAUUAGUGAAAUAACCUACUAUGAUGGAUCAAAUUAUUAUUAUUUUUAUCAGUGGGCUAUUUUUUUUUUUUUUCCUUUUUUUGUGGAAAGAUUUAGAGACUGUAUCCAGACCUGCCUUACUGUUACCAAUAUGUUCCUUUUUUGAACAGGGAGUUAUUCUACCGUAAACUAAGAUUCUUUUUACGUAUUUUUUAUUUUUUUAAGGAUACUUCCACUGACAUUCUUAGAGCUGUCAUUUUAUUGUGAGGAACUGCAGUUCGAUCGGAAUAGUUUUUCUGUUUUCGUCCUCUGUUUUGUGAGUGACCCUCUCACUCAGUCAACUCGUCUCAGGGCACAAGUCUCCUCUUCUCCAGACACCGCGUGUGAAUCAGACUCCGUAGCUAGUUGUGACACGUGAGCCUCUGGAUGAAAAGCAGAGUAUCCCUAAAGCAGCGUGGUCCUAUCAGCCCCUCAUGUUGGACUAAACACUUUCAACUCUACACAAGUGAAAACCCCAAAUCCCUAAUGAUCCUCUAUUUGCCAUACUAGAGGGACAUGAAGUCUGACUCCAUCCUCAACAUGUGGACCUGCCCUGAGGAUGUUGGACACCACUGUUACACCUUCAGCCUUCGUUGAUUUCCUGUCAGACUGGUUGUUUUUCAACUCCAUUCCACGGACGGACUGUCCUGAACUUUUACCAGAACAGGAACACAAUGUUCAUCAGACUCUCUCCUCACCAGUGGACUGACUACUCAGACUGGUCAUCUUUGAACUCAACAGGAACACAAUGUUCAUCAGACUCCCUCCUCACCAGUGGACUGACUACUGAGACUGGUCAUCUUUGAACUCAACAGGAACACAAUGUUCAUCAGACUCCCUCCUCACCAGUGGACUGACUACUGAGACUGGUCAUCUUUGAACUCAACAGGAACACAAUGUUCAUCAGACUCUACUCAGACUGGUCGUCUUUGAACUCAAGAGGAACACAAUGUUCAACAGACUCUACUCAGACUGGUCGUCUUUGAACUCAAGAGGAACACAAUGUUCAACAGACUCUACUCAGACUGGUGGUCUUUGAACUCAACAGGAACACAAUGUUCAUCAGACUCUACUCAGACUGGUCGUCUUUGAACUCAACAGGAACACAAUGUUCAUCAGACUCUACUCAGACUGGUCGUCUUUGAACUCAAGAGGAACACAAUGUUCAACAGACUCCCUCCUCACCAGUGGGACUGACUACUGAGACUGGUUGUGAGGUCACAGGAAAUAGAGUCACGUUCACGUUUUGGAAAUUCAAUGGUCAUUAAAAAAUAAAAUCUGCAUUUACACUGUU
Molecule: long non-coding RNA, 2714 nt
Organism: Oncorhynchus nerka (sockeye salmon)
Lineage: Eukaryota; Metazoa; Chordata; Actinopteri; Salmoniformes; Salmonidae
Exons: 3
Source: RefSeq, a predicted model, not a curated record